RNAcentral lists this non-coding RNA (26 nucleotides) under Homo sapiens (human). The record is from RNAcentral. Lineage: Eukaryota; Metazoa; Chordata; Mammalia; Primates; Hominidae.
UGGCUGACUCUAAGGUUAAGGUGGUC